Molecule: ribosomal RNA, 253 nt
Filed under: uncultured bacterium
Lineage: Bacteria
Description: partial 16S ribosomal RNA
Rfam family: Bacterial small subunit ribosomal RNA
Source: RNAcentral
UACAGAGGUCUCAAGCGUUGUUCGGAUUCAUUGGGCGUAAAGGGUGCGUAGGCGGCGUGGUAAGUCGGGUGUGAAAUCUCGGAGCUUAACUCCGAAACUGCAUUCGAUACUGCCGUGCUUGAGGACUGGAGAGGAGACUGGAAUUUACGGUGUAGCGGUGAAAUGCGUAGAUAUCGUAAGGAAGACCAGUGGCGAAAGCGACUUCCUGGACCAGUACCGACGUUCAGGCACGAAAGCGUGGGGAGCAAACAGG